CUCCCACCCAUCUUAUGCUCCCUCCCUCCCUCCCCAGGCCCCAGUGCAAAUACAGUUCCUUGCCGUGUUGGACAUGUGAUGAAAAAGUGACUGGUUCGCGCGCUCUGCUACACCUCCUAUUUCAUCAUCAGCCGAGCUUUUCUACCCCUUCACUGUAUGCAUGUCUGUCUCCUCCUCUCGGAUUCUCUCUCUCUCUCCCUCUCUCUCUCUCUCCCCCUCUCCUCGUCUUCUCUCUCUGAAUCGGUCGCUCCUCUCUUUCUGCUAGAGCCACACGCAAGGGGGAGACUUGAGCUCUGCGAGGGGAGAAAAAAAAAAAAGACAAAAAGUCUGCUGCUAUUUCUACAGUCAGGGCCUCCCCGCAGCCCGCCCUGCCAUAGAUGGAUCUUUUUUUUUUUUUACUCACUACUAGCUGGAUUUUAACCCUCUGCCUCCAACUAGCUGCACAGCAGCUCUGCAAAACCUGGCAACAAGUGGCUUUUUUUAGGGGCCCUUUUCUUACUUUUGGCACAUUGAUUUUUGCACCGCUCUGGAUUUUUGAUCACUUUUCUGCUUUUCUGUUGCUUAUUUUCUAAAACUGUACCUCAUUUUCCUCUUCUUUUUUUGUUUGUUUGUUUAGUUUUAUUAGUUUUUUUUUCCCCCUUGCUGGUUUUUAGCCAUGUUUAUUUGGUUUCUCUCAUUUUGGAUCAAAAUUUUCCAAGGUGGUGUUUCUCCAUCUGAUGGGCCUUGAUCCACCUGGAAUGCCAGGGGCGCCAUUUUUGACGGGUAACCUGUUUGUGGUGGUGGGCUUGUGGCCGGGAUGUCCAUGGAUGGCAGUCACAGAGUGACCAGUGUCUCAGUAGGGUAUACGUGUGCGUUUUAAAGGAGAUGUUUCGUAAUCCGCGACUGGCGUGAAGUACCGCACCUUGUUUGUAUUUACUCUGCUUCUCCUCCUGUUUCCUCUCCAUGUCCUCUCUCCUUCGCUGUCUCCUUGUGUCUCUUUCUCACUCUUGUUCUCUCUCUUUCACGCCGACUCGCUCUCGAGAGCAAAUGAGUGGUGCGCUGAGCCGGAGCUCUUACUGGGACAGGUGCCAAUUGCAAACAAAAGAAAUUAACAGGCAAUAAGCGAAGAAAAAAAAAGGGGGGGAAGCGAAUUUUCGAAUUGCAAGUUGUUGAGAUGUCACCAGUAGCUGUGCACGUUACGUCGCCGCAUGACCGGUUUGCAUUAUUGUUGCGUUACGUUAUCAAGUAUUAAAGUAAAACAGAGGUUUGAAUACUUUGCUUCACUUAUUCCAGUGAAGGCAUUUCACUUGAGAAGAGGGAGGGAGUAAUGUGAGAGAGAAGCAUAUAGACUUGUGAAUUAUUCAUGUGCUCAGCCAAGGCUGAGACUGGACUGGUUGUGCUAUUUGCAUGCAUCAGACAUGCUGUUUGUCUGUUUGCUAACAUUCCUCAUUCAAAGACUUGUUAACUAGCAGCCGGGCUUAGCUGGAGCCUCGCAGACAGCCUCAUGGCCUCCUAUUGUUUCAGGCCUCACCGGGCCUGGACCCAGCUGGUGGCAGGCAAGCCAUGCAGCCCUGAGCUUUGGGUUGAGACUGUGGUUGAAGGAGGGAUUUGUGCCUGGAGGUGAGACUGACGUGGGCACUGAGGCUGGAGCUGAGGCUGAGGCACGGCUGUGAACGGGACAUUCUGAGGGAAAUCAUGGGGUUAUGCAAGAAGCACCAAACUGGAGCUUAUGGCUUUCUCCUCUUCUUGACAGAGAUGUGGAUCAAAGCGGGAAGAGCUUCCGAACCUCACCGGACAUUUAGCGUCUUUGCUCUGGUAACUGGCAGUGAGACAGUUUUGAUCUCCAAGCGCAAACAGUUUUGGCCAGAGAGAGAAAUUAUGCAAACACACACUGGCGAUUAGUUGGGGCCGCAGGGCCACACUGGAAUGAGCUAAGUUUGCCUAAUCCAGCCCUCCUCACCUGGCAUGUUUAUGGCUCUGCUGCGGGAUGGAGGGGUUGGAGGGGUAUAAGUCAGUGGGGCCAGUUCAUCUUGCAGUCUUACAGGCAGACACACACUUUAACCACGUUGGCGUGAGUACAUGCACACUUGCACAUGUAUGCAUUUGCUCAUCUGCAUGCACAAACACCACAAGUGUCAAGUGCGUUCAGUGCACAUGCGCUAAUGUGUUCUUGCAGCAUCACAAACACGCGCUAUGCACACACUGUACAUUCAAACUUAUUGAUGUGAACUUUGAACUCCCUGUUCUUUCAUUCCUAACACACACUUGCACAAGGUUUGCAAGCUCAGUAUCUGCCUCAUGCAGAGGUGACGGGGAGGUCAGCCUGUCUGACUUUGAGCAGAAUCCCCCUGUGGCUUGCCCCAGCCAUUCCCCCUGGCAUGUGUAACAGGACCUGCCCAAGCAGCCUCUCCUCUUCCCCCAGCUCCUGUCCUCCUCCUACUGCUGCCUGCCCCUUGGCCCUGGUAUAAAUAGAUGGGUCAUGACUGCUGUGCUAUCUGUAUCGAGGGUGGUGGGGGGUGAAUAGUCCACCCUGUCUAUCUACAAGAUUCCUCGUGUCUGCACCACUUCUGCUGCAGCAGGACAUAAAAAGAAAAACAGGUAUUUCUGACCACAUCAUUUGUGACUAGAGACUGUACACUAAUGUCACCAUGUUGAGUGUGUAUGGGUGUACUUGCAAAGUUGAACUAUAGUGUAGUGUGUGAGUGAUCUUUUUACCCUGAAUACAAUGUUUUUUAUAGAUAUUAUUGUAUUUUCUUUUUUUCUUUUUUUUUUACCCAUCAGGAUUUUUGUACAUGAGGAAGACCCUCCAGUGGUGUAGUGGUUAACACAUAUGCUUGGGAAGUCAAAGGGCACUUGUUCAGUUCCAGCUGGAGACAUACAUCCCUUUCGGGCUUGUAUCUAGCAUCUAACUCUGACAAAGUAUGCAGAGCCGCCUGCUGUGGUGACCCCUUGUGGCAAGUAAGAAGCUUUUUGUUUUAUUUUAUUAUUCUUGAAGGUUGGCCUGGUAGUUUUUGGUUAUCAAACAAACGGUUAAAUGAAUGCUAUAGAAAACCUGUGUCCACAUUGACUUUCAGUACAGAUGAUGUAGUAAUUGUCUGAUUAGAUAUUAGCCAAUAAGUAAGCAUAUGAUUUCAAAUUUACCGCUUGAAAUUUCGUGCUACUUGCAGAUCUCGUCGGUUUGACUAGGUCACUGGAUAUGCAACAUAGUUGUACUUGUGCGUCGUAAACUUUAUUACAUCUUUGGCCAAAAGUUAACUAUUUGCCUCUAUACAUAAGUAUCGAAACACAAAAUGCAAAUUGCAUGACUUUAAUGAACUUUGUAGAUCCUUCUGAGUGCCAGAAAUAUCCCCUUGCAGUAAAAACUACAUUGCUAGUGCUACUGCACUGUCACCUCUAGCUUUUAUGGUGAAACAUCAGAAGUCAGUCUUGACUGUGACCAAAUAAAAGGCGAGAAGGUUUAAAUAUUGAUUUUACUGUUGUAGUGGUUUGUAUUAUCAUUUAUUUAUUUUAGGUAAAUGAAGAGCAUUUAAUAUAUGCUAACAUUUCUUUCUGUAACCAUCUUUUAUGUCGGUGAUACAAUGUUGUUGAGGUUAAUACUGCUGCCUCACAGCCAGAAGGUUCUGGUAAUAAACCACAGUAUAUUCAUGCUGGUAUGUUCUAUAAGCGCAGAAUAGAUGAGAUACAGUAAAGCUUUGAGUGGUCAGUAAAACGACAAAACAUGAUUGAAAUUUGUAAUUUGCAGGAAUGAAUAAUAAGAAUCUGAGGUUGGAUAUUACAUUAAAGUGGUCUUUAAAAAAAAUCUACCCACUCGCUGACCUUAAACCACCAGAACCUCAAAGAUCAGGUUGCAAGGUUAUAGCUGAACUGAUUGGCAAUGUAGCACUUAGACUCAAGUGUGAUUAAGUUAAAGUGAGUUUUUAAGCAGCGCCUAGCUUUGCUGUGAACACUGUGUGAAAAUAUGAUUAGAUAAAUCAGCAAAAUGUUUUACCUUACUUCCUUUUUCCAAGCUUAUGUGCAUGUGUUUCAAACUGUGACCUUCUGUAUGAGAUUUGGUUUCACGUGUGCAUCCAUAUAUGUGUUUUAUGGGACAUUGUGAAGCAAAGAUGUGCAGAAAGCAGAACUUGAGCUGAGGGAAGUGUGAGGCUGAAGCAGUACUUUAGUUACAGAGCCAGCUUGUUGAGUUUGCACGACAACCAAAGAAGAGUUCCAGAUUGUCCUCUAUAACUGCGGUAAAAAAAAACAAGUGUGCAACAUGAGUAUGGACCUGUGGGUGUGUGUAUAUAUGCUUGCAUUUCAUGUUAGUUCUCUACAGUACAUGUGCGUGGGUGUAAGCGUGAAUAUUUUCCUGUCACUGGAAGAUAGCAACUGGCUCUGACUUCACUUGAAAAUGAUAUUUUUCAUUAUUUAUUGGUCGGGACCCCAGGGUCAUAUACUAUAUUAGAUUAAAGUAUGUUCAAUCAGCAGAUGUAGAGGACAAUGUGUCUUGACCCUACAUUAUGAAGUCUGGGCCCCGCGCCACAGAGAGUUUUGCAGGACUGCACAAUAAAAUGAGGUAUAUGCUUUAGCAUACGGUUUUCUCUAUGAUUUAGGUCCUAAAAUCAUUGCAAGUUGAGCUCUGUAGUGGAGUUAAUUAUGCGAGCUCCGUUUGUCAUUACUAAAUGUGUGUGCAAAUGUAUAUGUGUGCUAACUGUAGGUUGCCAUAUUUCUUCUCUCAGGUUGUUUCUGUCUGCAAAGUAUCUGUUUAGUCCUUUUGUGUCUGUUAUACUGUACAGGUGUGUGCCUGCGCAUAUUUACAACCCACAGCUCUAUGGUGUAAGUAAGGUGGUGUUGAAUAAUGCAGGGAACCUCAGACUCACCACUGAGCAGACGCAAUGGGGCCUCUCAGCUCAAGACAUACUGCUUUGUAUUGUGCUGUGCUGUACACUUCUGUCUUCCCAGUACAUUAGAUUAUAUACAGUAAUCAGCCGACUGUAUGGCACAAAACACGCACAAUGGUGUGGUUUUAUCAAAGAACACAUGAGCAUGAACCGCACUGUAAAUAAAUAUAACCCCCAUAUACAAACUGCAAGCAAAGCCAGACACGUCUUCACCCAAAGGUCCAAAAUGCAGCGUUUGAACUGGCUGCAGUGUUUGCAAUUGAUCUCACAUAUGUCAAAUCUAAAAGUCAUCAUGCAGGAGUAUUUUUCUGUUUCCCCUUUUGUCUUUGUUGCAGAAGUAACAGAUUUUCCCUCUUGGGUUUUUCCACAUGGAGACUACCUGACAUGCUGCUGAAACCAUGAUGGAGGGAGGAGGUUAUAGGCCAGUGGGCCCUUCCAGCCCCUUUUCUCGAUGCAUGUUAUAUAGCAGGUGAGAAACAUUAACGGAGGCAGCAGCAGCUGCAGACCUCUGCUCCACACAUGUGGGCCAGGAUAUGAGCUAGCUUGAGCUCUCCCACUCUCAACUUUAGUGAGCAAGGUUAUCGCUCAGAACCACAGGAAACAGUGCUGCCAAACUGGAAACAGCAUAGCUCUGUUUAAUAUACGUUACUUUGAACACUGAUCUUAAUAGUAUAUAGGUUUGCCAGAACUUGAUCUAAAAUGAUAUUUGCUUAUUUGUCAUGUGACUGGCCACACCCACCCUAGCUUCUAAAAGCUAUGUGAUAUUUGUGAAUAUAAUAAUGUUUCUGAGUGUUUUUGAGGUUAGCGUGUUUGCUAUACAAUGUUCAUUAUGAAUAUACCAUUUAAGUUAUUUACUGGUUGCAUUUGAAUAUGGAAAUGUCUUGGCUGCGCAAUUUGCUUGAGACAUGUGUGCCUUGUUGGGUCAUUUGAAUUACCCCCCUCAGCCCGGGCCAUGAACCCGGAGACCCAGUUGUCACAUUGUGUUUUGAGCGCACAGACUCUGGCCGCGGUGGUGAGGUGUCCCAGAGGAGAGUGGCAUGUUUCUGUGAAUCAUAACCGCUGUUCUGUGUUCAGUGAGCCGUGUCAAAGCGGAUUACCUGCAUGAACGGGGACCUGAAAGGACUUUGUUUUUAAAGACUGUCCUUUGGGGUGAGGUAGUAGGUUGUAUAGUUUUAGGGUCGUACCCUUCCUGUCAGAUAACUAUACAACUUACUGUCUUUCCUGAAGUGGCUGUAAUGUCGUCAGAUGCCUUUGGUGGAGUGCACGGAUCCAGAUCGACGCACUGCUUGCUAACGGCUCAGUAGCCCGAGUUUGAUAGCAGAAAGUUAUUAAGGACUGUAGCCGCUUUGUGGAAGUCGUUGAUUGCCAAUAAAGUACAACUGUGUUUUCAUUGUAAGCAUUCAUUCUUUUUGUUUAAAACACAACAACAGCAAAAAUGUCCUCUUCAUAUCUCAGCAGACACUUUGCGCUGCAUAAUCGUUUCCAAAGGUUGCUCCUGUUUAGCCGCCAGUCUCUUUGUUCAUUUUCUUUGCACUUGUAAAAAUCUAAAAGAAAUCAUCACAAUUUGGGGGGUUUUAGUAAUUAAAACUCGACAAAAAUUUCAGUGUUUGCUUUUCAUGUAGGUAUGGUUUUUGUCAAAUUCUGUAUAUUCAUUUACAGAUUGUAUAUGUCAUCACAACGCUUUUAUCAUUACCAAAGAUUUUACCCAGCCUGUAGGCCCUUUACUGAUGUUCGUACGGGGUGAGGUAGUAGGUUGUGUGGUUUCAGGGUAGUGAUUUUGCCCAAUCAGGAGAUAACUAUACAACCUACUGCCUUCCCUGAAGGGCAGCAAUACUUCACCAUUCACACACAUCAGGAGGCAUUUUGUUCAUAUCAUUAAAAAAAACUCCAUAUUGACAAACUAAACCACAUGAAUCACCUGAGUCUAAGAAAUUUUAUACAAAGAUGUCAAAUCAGACGAUAGCAGCGGAAGGAACCAGCAGGUAAAGUCUGUGCAGUAAGGAAAAUGUCUUUGACUCAGAUUUUUUUUAUUUUUUUGCUUCAAAAUUAAUAAUAAAAAAUAAGGUGAUUGAU
This is a long non-coding RNA of Haplochromis burtoni (Burton's mouthbrooder), 6929 nucleotides long. RefSeq lists it as uncharacterized. Lineage: Eukaryota; Metazoa; Chordata; Actinopteri; Cichliformes; Cichlidae. The transcript is spliced from 3 exons. The record is from RefSeq and is a predicted model, not a curated record.